Lacerta agilis (Sand lizard) is the source of this 2701-nucleotide RNA transcript. It is a transcript of the gene named zinc finger protein 346, with no coding region annotated. The transcript has 8 exons. NCBI's taxonomy places the organism in Eukaryota, Metazoa, Chordata, Lepidosauria, Squamata, Lacertidae. The record is from RefSeq and is a predicted model, not a curated record.
GUCCUCCCAGUGCCCUCAAGAGAAAUGGACGCCCAGGGAAGAGACCGCUUCGAUCACGUGCAAACCAAAUAUCGCGAGGCCGUUCGAUUUUCCUCGCGGUUCCCGAUCUUUUCGGUUCCCGGGCUGCGGGGCGGAAGAGGUCUCGCGAUACGUGUCUUGGAGAGAGGAGCAUCUCGCGGGAUCCACGAGAGGUCCGGGGGAAGGCGGGUACCUCGGGGGCGGCGACGCGGGGAUAAGAUGGCGGACGAAGCGGAUAGCAACGGGGACGCUUCAGCCUUACCGGUGGGGAAGGAGGCAGUGGAUCGUAUGAUCAAAGAGAACAGCCACAUCUUCACAGAUGCCCAUUGUAAAGUGUGUAGUGCAGUGCUCAUCUCCGAGUCACAGAAGCUCGCUCAUUAUCAGAGUAAGAAACAUGCCAACAAAGUUCGUCGAUACAUGGCUAUCCAUGGUGAAGAGGAGGUCUGCUCAAGCAAGAAAAUAAAGCUGGACACAAAGCAGGAGGGCAGCAGUGAAGAAGACAGGAACAAAUGCUGCCCCAUCUGUAAUAUGACCUUUUCAUCGCCUGUUGUGGCUAACUCCCAUUACCUAGGCAAGACCCAUGCCAAGAAUCUGAAGCUGAAGCAGCAACCUCCUAAAGCAGAAGGUACAGAGGAAUUGUCUCCUGGUGCUGUGCUGAAAAGUCCAGCAGCUGUACCUGCUCAGAAACAACCAGCUAAUCCUCCUCCCACUACUGUGCCCUCUAAUGAAGAGAACCAAAACACUUCUGACCCAGACAAAUUCUGCAGUCUCUGCCAUGCCACAUUCAAUAAUCCCCUGAUGGCAAAACAACACUACGUGGGCAAGAAACACAAAAAGCAGGAGACUAAACUUAAGCUAAUGGCACACUAUGGGAGAAGCCCCGAUGAACCUGCAGCUUCAACAGAUCAAACCCAGGGGGAAACCCAGAACCAAAAUCUUACCAAGGACCAGGGAACUUAUCUAUGGAAGGAGAGCACAAAAAUACUCUUGCUGGGAAGGGAUAUCCAUGUGAAAGCUGUAACAUAGUACUGAACUCCAUAGAACAGUACCAAGCUCACAUCAGCGGCUUCAAACACAAGAACCAUAUACCAGGAGGAGUACCUGUUACAGCACGAUACCAGAAGCAGCUGUACACACGAGAGGAGACAACGGGCCCUGAUGGCUACAGCUAUUUUAGCCAAGACCUCUAGAGAGGAAGCUCCUGUGCUCUUUUUGGAUUGCCGAUGGCCCAAAAGUGAACAUCGCUUAUCAACCCACUACGGUUUUAUUGUUCCUCUGGCUGAAUGAAACCCUCCUAUCCUGCAGUGUGCAAGUUUAGCUGAUUCAGAACUAACUAUUGGCUAAAGGAUCUAGAAGGGACUGAUAUACUAGUUGGCAUUUGCAAAGACCUUUAGAAUAGUUUUCAUUGUGUAAUCUCUUGCUGUAAUGGCUGAUGGGUGAGGUGGGAAGGAGAAGGAAUGGUGUCUGGCACAAGUAAGACUUGGCCCCUACCAGUGUUCUAUCUCGAGCCCAUCCUUUUCCUCUGCCCAGAAGAAGCAGACGGGAGUUCUACACCCACUACCAGCCAGAGAAGAGCAACUUUUGGAAGAAAGUUCAUAAUUUUUGGUUAUGGGGUGCUUGUUAAAUGUGAGGUGUGGAAUGGGCAUAAUGGACAGACUGAUGAUCUCCUCCUUGCCUAGAAAUGGGGUGUUACACCGCUGUGUUUGUCGUGCCCCUUUCUGAAUUAACUGGGUUUGUGUGCAGAGUUUCUUAGGUCACCAAUAUGCCAUUUGCAUCCUUUUUGUAGUUCUGCAGAUGUUGGUUCUGGAACAUCUGGUAAUCUGUUUAAUAAAAAGCUGUUUCUGUUGGUAGUAUGCAUAAUCUGCUUCAGAAAAGCAAGCAGAAGGAGUGCCUCCAGAAAACUGCACUUCUCCCUCAGUUCCUGGCAUACUUGUGGAAACUUGUGCUUUUGAGUCUCACUAUGUACAGCUUUCUGUUGUGUUAAAUGUUCAUCAGAAAUCUUUUUUUGGUAUGAUGGAAGGUUUAAAAAAAUGUCGUUUUUCAGAACCUUAAAGCUUUAUAAUUAAUUUGUACAAAGGUUUAGCAAGGGUGAGAGAACAAGCAGCUAUGGUCUGACUUUGAGGCAAUUCUAAGCUGAAAAAUAGUGCUUUGUAUAGCGUUGUGGGCCUCCCACUUGUGAACUUUGCAAGUCCAUUAACUAGUUUCCAUCCAUGUGAAACCAUUUCUCAGAGACAAGACAUUCUUUCCAAUUGCUUCCUGAGACUCUGAAAACAACAUAGGUAGCAGCUGGGAAUGCUGCUCGAGGCAAACUUACUAUGCUUUGUUUGGACAGAGGUAAAAUUAGUUUGCAUUUUGGUCAUUUCCUUUUCCCUUGUAUGGAUAUAAGAAGGUAAGCUUGAAGUCUCCUAACAUCUGAGUUUGUUUCAAGUCUGCCAGAUGGCCUGUUUCCAAAACAAUCAGUUGAAAUGCUAAUCUUAUUUGUAAAAAAAACCACCACUCACAUAAGCAUAAAGGCAAGAGAUGUGAGAUACUCCUCUCUUGCCUAGCUCAUCGUUAAACUGCUUUUCUACUCUGGUUCAAAACAGGAUGUGGCUCUUUUUUUCCUUAGUGCUUCUCCCUUCCUACCUAAUUGCUUCAGUGUUAUUGAUCAAAAUGGACAUUCAUUAAAACUGGACACCUUGUA